This is a long non-coding RNA of Camelus dromedarius (Arabian camel), 786 nucleotides long. RefSeq lists it as uncharacterized. Lineage: Eukaryota; Metazoa; Chordata; Mammalia; Artiodactyla; Camelidae. The record is from RefSeq and is a predicted model, not a curated record. The transcript is spliced from 4 exons.
GAUCUUACUGGAAUGAUAAAAUGCCUAAAAGGAGUCUGAUGGGGGUAAAAUUCAGGUGCUAGCAGGGCCAUUUCCUUCUUUGGGCUCCAGGAGUAAGUCUGUUCUUUGCUUCUUCCUCCUCCUAGAGGCUUCUGGCAUACCUUGGCUCCUGGCUGCAUCACUCCAAUCCAUUGUGACAUCGCCAACACCCUGGAUCCCUACCCCACUAACCCUUCUGCCUCCCUCUUCUAAAGAUCCUUCCACGCGGGAUAGAUGAUGGCUGGGAUGUGGAAUUUCUCCAUCAGUGUGCCAGGGUUGUGAGCAGUUCCCAGUGGAAGAGCUGCAACAACUUCGUCCCUUAACCUCCACUGAAGAAUGCAUGGGAGACAGAGUGAUGCUAUUAUAGAAAAAAGCUUGGAUCUGCUUUAAUUUAUUAUUUUGAAAUUCAGUUAUUCGCAAAGCAAAUACUGCUGACUGAUCAAUCCCAGUGCUCUUUCUGGCUGAUCUGCAACCAAAUCUUAGAAACCAACGAUGCUCUGGGCAGCCGGUACCAUCAACCGUAUCAGCAUAACAGCAUGAAAUCUGUUAGUUAUCUCUGCAAAGCAAAGAAAGGAAUGUCUAAUACAGGAAAACCUCAUUACCUGAAGGGAAGCCCGGUCACUCCCAGGGGUCCUGGCAGGAAGCUCCAAGUCACUGUGUCCAGGACAGGAGAGCAGGCCUCUGUUGACUUCCUGGCAUUGUACACUCCUGGCUCCUUGCCGCAGGGUCUUGCAGAAAGUGAUUUCUCAGAAUUGAAUGUUUCUCCAG